AUGGGGAUUAAAAUGCCUUUUUGUCAUGUCUUUUUUGACCUAGACUCAGACCAUCAUUUCUCCAGUAUUACUGGUUACAUUACAUGGGCCUGUUCGGUGGGAGAGGAGACCACACCGAACAUGGGAACCAGGAUGAGAGAAUCAUGGGAGGUCAUCCUGGAGGCUCAGCUGCCAGGGACAGGGUCUCACUAUGUUGCCCAGGCUGAUCUUGAACAUCUGGCUUCAAGGGAUCCUCCAUUCUUGGCCUCUCAGAGCACUGGGAUUACAGGAGAUGAAGCUAUAGUCACUGGAGAAACUGAACCGAGGAUGGAUGAGAGCUCCAACCAGGACACACAAGAGGAUGACCAGCUGAGGUUAAGUGACAUUGAGUGGCUCCAAUCCACAAGGUUGUAUUAG
Molecule: long non-coding RNA, 396 nt
Filed under: Callithrix jacchus (white-tufted-ear marmoset)
Lineage: Eukaryota; Metazoa; Chordata; Mammalia; Primates; Cebidae
Description: lncRNA (ENSCJAG00000054063.2)
Source: RNAcentral